CUUACAGACCACGUGUAAUUCUGAAAUUACUCAGAAAAUAUAUGAGCUGGCUAAUGUGCAUCAAUUCCACCUCCCAUUUAGAAAUCUCGGAUUUUCCGGGAAUUUUUUGUGUUUAGAUAGAAAUUUUCCUGAAAAUGGUUGCAGUAGUUUUCUGUUCUCACUCGGCCCUUCGCUUGCAAUCUUUCUACGCUUUCAGCAAGCCGAAAUUGGGAAAAUCCGCUGUCUCUCUUCAAGGCCUGAAAACUUUGUGGACCACAAACUGAGGGAUCAAUCUUUGAUGCAGCUUGUUGAAUUUGGCAGAGACUGCAGAUGGAUUUUCACCCUUUGCCUCCCGAAGGGACCUUCUUCCAUUAACCAUUUCAAGCAUAAAAUCAGAUGGAAACAGGAGAGGACGACCUCCCCGCAAAAAUCAUAUCUCAGGAAGAACAGAAAAGGGGGAUAAAAAUAAGACACCGCCGUCAUCUGAUGGUAAAUUAUCAGAGUCAUCUAAUCAGGAUGAGAUAAUUGCUCUUUUCAGACGGAUACAAUCUUCAAUCUCAAAAGGGGAGUCUCUAGGUACCAAGAAGAGAAUUUCUGACUCGUCCGUGGACAAGACAUCAGCUGAAUCAGUUUUGGAGAUUCUUCGCCAAUCAAGGAAACAAGUAAAAGGCAGACCUUCAAAAAAGGAAGGAGGCCAGGUGUUGACACAGAGAAGAGGUGUGCCUAAGAAGGAUCAGGGGAUACCAGACAAACAGUAUGUAGCAGACUUGAAGUCAGCGCGGCCUCCAUCAAAUUUUGUGAAAAGGUCUCCAAUCCCAUCUCAUACAACCCCAAGAGGGAAGGCAGUCAAGCUGAAAAAUGAAGUGUCAGUAAGAACAACUAGCUUCAAUGAGUUGCCCAAGGUUGAGGAAAUGAAAGUUACUGAGCUAAAAGAACUUGCAAAGUCCAGAGGAAUCAAAGGUUACUCAAAGAUGAAAAAGAGUGAGCUGGUGGAGUUGCUAAGGUCCUAAAAGGCUAAAAGUAGUUGAGGGCGUUCUGUGAGCUGAGACAACAUGCAGAACGAAUGUGAAGUUUUUUUAACUGCCGAUGAUCAAAGUGGUCCAUCAAUCAUCUAGGGCUAUACAUCAACGAACCUGUCACCUUUUUGGAAAAGAAUAUCAACUUCAGUUGAUGUUUAGUCUUCUGGGACAAUAGUGCAACAAUUUCAUUUUUAACGCCCAUGGUGAUAUUGUUCUAACUUCUUAUCAAAUCAAUGGUUAUAUCGUUCUAACUUCUUAUCAAA
Molecule: RNA transcript, 1261 nt
Organism: Vitis riparia (riverbank grape)
Lineage: Eukaryota; Viridiplantae; Streptophyta; Magnoliopsida; Vitales; Vitaceae
Gene name: SAP-like protein BP-73
Exons: 3
Source: RefSeq, a predicted model, not a curated record